CGUCUCGUUGUUGUCAGGCCCCCUGAGUGAAAUGACUUCUGCAGUGCAGGGGUUAGACUGAGCCCUCUUAAAGCAGAUUGGGAAUGUCAAUCCUGGGAACAAGUCAGGCAACCUCAAACAGCCUCAGAAGAGACAUAGUUCCAUUCCAUCAAACCAGACCCCUUUAUGGUACCUUGCACUCGGAGUCCAGGGUUUCCUGCAUUUAUCACAACAAGUGCAGUCAUAUCUGCAACCACAAGGCAGGCAAAGCUGGAAGCAACUUCCUUUUCAUGUGGGAAGCAAAUCUCCACUAAUGCACUACAGCCUUCUGUCCCUCCAGCCUGGAAACCAGAACAUCAGGAGCAGGAAGCACAGCAGGCAGAACCUUCCUUCAGCCCCUGGACUGAAUCCAAAGCCACCUCUGCACGUGGUCUAUGGCACAGCUCCAGCAGCAGGACCUCCUGUGCUGAGGGACCACAGCCCCACACCACCACUGCCCAGCUCCAGGGGACUCUGGCUCACCUCUCCUGACCCAGAGGCUUCUCAUUUGCAGGGUCCCAGCCAGAGCUGGGCACUUCGUGAUGUUUGUUCCAGCCCACCUUGAGUGGAGGUGUCAGAUCCCCCAGGGCAGCUCCAUCACCCCAAGCUCUGUGGGAGCAAUCCCUGAGUGCUUUUAACAGCAGCUUUCCUACACAGUAGGAAAAGUUUCCCACUUCAGUAACCAAGUCAUUUCUCCCUGAAGUUUUGGAUGAAAAAUAAGAUGUAAAACCAAAUUA
Long non-coding RNA from Vidua chalybeata, 755 nucleotides. RefSeq lists it as uncharacterized. The transcript is spliced from 2 exons. The record is from RefSeq and is a predicted model, not a curated record. Lineage: Eukaryota; Metazoa; Chordata; Aves; Passeriformes; Viduidae.